GGGACCCCCAGGCCCCGUGCAAUGUGCUGUCCAGAGUACGGAUGGUACAGGAUUCUCCAUCCGCAUCAGACCUUUAUCGAGGCUGACAAGCCAAAGCCCUUGGCACAAUUUAAUUUUCAUGUACCCAGUUUCCGUUGUCCAGCUGUAGGCGAAGGAAAUGCGCAAUGAGAGUUUUGAAGUCUACUCCAGCCCCUUCAUUUCCCGUCUGUAUUUGCUUUACUUUGUAAAUUCAUUCUAAACCUGCUUUAUAGAUCUUGCUCUGGUUUUCCCUCUGGCACCAACUGGAAGUGGGUGUUGGCUUUAUAAGGGCUGUGGAUUAGAAGCCAAACCUGACUCUAUCCCAGGGAGACAAGAAGAGACGGAAGAAGUUACCUCCACCAGCACCCCGGAAAGCACUCCGACAUCCCCGUCACCAUUGUGAACAGAUGGGAUUCUGUGUUGGCAGCUUUGUUCAAGUGUUGGAGGCAAUCUGAGAGCAGUCAGGACUCUUGCGGACAGAAGUGUGGAGUGGGGAGAGUUGGGUAACCUGCUCUGGCAGUUAUCCACCCUGAGUUGGACGGCAGGUGUAACUCUGGGAGCCCUGGCACACGUUGCUGAGACCAGCUGAGGAGCCCCCAGGGAACCAGGCAAUGUUUCCCUGAAUGUUUCUACUUCUCACCAGCCUGACUCAGUUCACCUAUGGAUGAAAGCUGGUCACCCUGCCCAUCCGGCGGAUAUAACAGGGCUGACGGCUGAGACUCAGUGAAACAAGACCAAAGGAAGUUUUAAGUAUGAACAGCAGGCAAGCAGACCUCAGAAGUAACCCAGGUAGAGGGGCUGGUGUGAGCCAAGGCCCCAAGGCAUGAAAAGCCUGAUGUGAGGGAGCAUCUCUGAGGCCUGAAGUCAGAGCUGCAGAGGGAACAAGGGCCCGACUCUGGAGGACCUGCCAAGGCUUCACACGACACUGUGGAGCAGAGGUUCUCAAGGUGCGUCUCUGAACCAGAGUCUGAGCAUCACCUGGGAAUGAGGGAGAAAUGCAGAUUCUCAGGCCCCACCCAGGUCUACUGAAUCAGAAACUCUGGGCUGGGGCCCAGCCAUCUGUGUUUUCAGGAGCUCUCUGAUUCUGAUGCACACUAAGGUUUGAGAACCACUGAUGGAGAGGGUGAGGAGAAUGACUUUCACUGGCAUUGGGAGGAGAUGACUAUUAAUGAGAUGAUUAAUUACUGUGUAGUGAUGCAGAGGGGACCCAAGCAGAUGGCCCCACCUACCCUCCAGGCCCCUCCAGGCUCCACUCCCUAUUCCCUGAAACAGUGGUUUCAGGGAACCCCACUUAGUCGCAAUUCCACUCCUCCCCUCACACAUUAGCUACUUCCUGCUGGCCUGGCCCCUUUCGUCCUGGAGAGAGACAUGGCCCAGGAGAGGCUGUAGUGAGGCCUCCCAUCUCUAGGGAUGCUGCCUUCCAGGUUCCUGUAAACUGAGCAGCUUCCUCCAGGGCCAUAUUUGAGGGGGAAACAAUUAAACCAUGGCAAUGACCCUGCAUCACCAGAACAACUGUUCUGCACACAGCACCUCUACUGGCGGAGCCAUGCAGGGCCCGGCAGAGAGUGGAGCUGGGUCACGGCCAGGUCGCUGCAGACCACUCCAUUUGUAAUGGGACUGGGGCAUGCAGCAUCACAAUCCGACACUAAAUUGGACGGGAAAUGAAUGGCUUUUCUUGGAAGGGCAGUGACUCAUUCUGGAUGUUACUAAAAGUGAAAAACUAAAACCAAAACAAACCUGCAGCCUCUCUACAGACUGAAUCUGUCUUGGUCCUCGAAUUUCUAAGACCUGCAGAGGUCCCAGUCUCCACCAAUGCCCUUUCCCCCCUACCAGAUGCCUGAGGUCCGGCAACUAUUGAUUUAGUUUUUUGAUUUAUGGCUUAAACUCUGUGACGGUCCACAAACCUUUGGGAGGAGCUAGUUGGCGCUCUCUCGGUUAUUUACAUCUAACUGUGUGCAGUAUCUGUCCACGUAUAAGGAUUUCUGAGACUGGGAGUCAGAGGGCCCGGGCACUGGGCGUUGGGGUGGAAGGAUGGAGGAGGAAUGGGCUGGGAAGGAGCCCAGACACCCAGCCUCGGAGAGCUAGCACUGCUGUGUAGUUCCUGAGUACCCCCUAAUGCCCUAGAGGACAUUUCAUUCCUCCCGCCCAGCUUGGAAAGGUUUUCUGAUGAAAUACCCAAGCAGCUCCUGAAGCCGCAGAGACCACAUGGAGAAUAACUCCGCUCUAAUGGAUUAGAAUAUGCUAACAAGAACAAAGAGGGCUUGCAGGGUGUUUGUGGUGAGAGAGAAUGGGGAAACCAGAUAGCCCUGAGCGCAGAAGACGAAGGGUCUCUUCCUGUCACUUAGAUCCAGAAGAGGUUGUCUGUACAGCCUGGCCUCUCUUUUGAAUUCCCUGACGAAAUGUUGCUCUCCCAAGACUUUAAGGCAAUUUUGUGUGUUUCCCAGAGGUUGGUCCCUUAUUACAAAGCCUCCUGUAGGACAAAAGGACAUGGAACAGGAUGGCAGGAAGUGUGUGGAGAGGCCUUUGGUGGUUCUGGAAGCAGGGAUGGAUUCUGUUCUCGUUGACAGACUUGGACCUAUGUCUGGUCAAGCCAGAUAGGAAGACAUUAUGGACUGAGGGUCAGGAGCGCAGAUGCAGCCACACAGAUGGAGUGAGUGAGUCGUGAGGGGUUUCAUUGGGAAGGCUGGGCAGAGAUGAGGCACACAGUAUGUCAGUGGGCAGGUCACACCAGCCGUUUACACUCGUCAGAAACAAUCGAGAGACCUGAGUCCCAACACCAGCUAGUUCCUCCCAUUCUGAGGAGCAGAGAGGGGCUGGUGCCUCUGGACCACGGAGGUGACACAUCUCCAGAGUCAGGGUCCCACUCCAAGAGAACUUUCAGUCGAAUGAAGUGGAACCCAGUCCUCACGGCCCAGGCGCCUGACGGGGCACCAGACCAGGACCCUGAAAGACAGAGUUGCGUGGGGCCAGUAUGGCUCCUCGACUCUUGCCUUCUCUGCUGUCACAGGUGCCCUCCUCAAAGCAAGAAGAGGAACUUAUCCCUCCUGGCACCCUGGUGUCCAGAGUAGCCCCUGGCCCACAGCAUGUGCUCAAUAAACGGUGAAUUCAGUGGAAUACCAGAGACCACUUGACCUCAGUGAACGGACUGGGUUUGAAAAAUUAAGAUGCUCCAGUGGAGAAAGAUUCCUCCAUUUUUCUUUUAGUGUUUAAGCCAGGGUCCUUCAUAAAGUCAGAUCGAGGAGGCGUGGAAGUGCAGUAGAGGGAGGAUGACAUUCCUGCUUCCCAAAUGGAGAGAGAACGGGAAUGGGGCUGUUUGGAGAGUGACCCCUUCCCAGCUAUAACAGUAAAAGGAGCCCCUAAGCAGAGAACAGGGGCAGGUGGGCCUUGACAAGCCCACUUGCUGCACCCUGUAGGUCGUGGCAGCGUCCCAGCUGAGGAGAGAAAGCCCUCGUCUAUUAAUGACCCAGCCCUGUGCUGCGCUCCAGUCCCUUUUAUCAGACUCACUGCAGAGGAGAUUCAUCAAGAUGAAGCUCAGUUCCCAACAGACUAAUGAAAAGAGAGCAACAAACGUGAGAAGAGCCCAAAUGCAGACAGUGUGUAUUAAUCACAGGCAAUAGAAACAUGUCGGCUUUAAUGUCGGUCUGCUUUUAUCUUGAAAUGAAAAUGCAUCUCUGCUGCCCAGACCCUUUAUUCUGAGCAAUUCAGAACAGAAGUGGGACACACACACAAAUAUUGAGGGUUCUUUUCCCAGCAGAAAGAGCUAUCAGAGAAAUGAGCCCACAGGUUGUGUCUAUUUGCAGAAGCAAAGAAUUCACCACAAGUCUCAGCUACAGACUCCAGCCACUGUGUGGAAAAGGGAGGGGGAGGGAUGGGGAGGCAGCUGCCCUUGGCAAGGGUUCAUUAGGGCAUCUGGGACGAGGGGCUCUGCUUGUGCCUGUGGGUCACAAACAUUAAUGUCACGUGCACCAUCCACUCCUGGAGACGAAAGUACAUCCAUCGUGGUCAACGUGGAGCACCCACCCCCCCGGCUCCCUUAUUUGGCUGCAAAGGAACUGCUGAUGAGCAGGAUUCAAGAGAGGUCAUGUUCAUCUUCACUAGUAAACUUCAAGUGAUGGAGACGGCAACAGCUUUUUGCAGGUCAGGAAGUUAGCCUUGAUACCCACGACUCAUCACUCAAAAAAGCAGGAGAAGAGAGAUUGAGGGGAACAGGUGAGGCUGGGUGGGAGCGACAGCAGCAGGAACCCCUCACCCAGGAGGCCAGGGCUCUGCUAUGUCUUGAAAGCUGUACCCAAGUUUCAGCAAACUAUGGGUAAGUCUGGCCGGGUGACCGCAGAGGCAGUCAGGGCAAUUGCUUCCAAAGUCAGAGCUGAUUGAAGGUGAUUUCAGUUCUUAAUUGAACUAGUCGUGACGGAUCACUCCACUUGAUGCCUCCAGCCUGACCGCAGUAGCUUCUAAAAAUGGCUGUUGCUGCCCUGAGCUGGACAGGCUGGGAAGGAGAUUGAAGAAAACUAGUUGGUGAGUUCAGAACAGAAAUUGCAUGUAGAAGUUGGUUGUUUUCAAAGAAAUCUGUAGGUAUUAGAGUUUGAUGUGUUACAUUAUUGGAAUGGACAUUAUCAUGUCGAUAAGGUAAGAUUCAGAAUGACUUGGUGGGGCAUUAGUUUAGAAAAUUAGUUAACAUAUUGAAUAUAAAUUAUCAGAGACAAGUAGGCUAAGGACAGCUAAAUAUAUGUGUCAUAUGCAUAUACACAUCUAUAAUACAGAAAUAAGUAAGAUAUAGAAUGAAGAUGUUGAUGGUCCCAACACAUUUUAAAUUCUUGAGAAGCAUUGGUUUGAAUGUUACACUUUUUCUUGUUGUUGUUGUUUACUUUGAGCUCUCAAAGCUCUGGAAACAGUGCCUGGCACAUAGUAGGAGUUUGUUAAGCAUUUGGAAAUUGAAAGUCCAGCUUGUCACUACGCAGUAGACACUUACCACUAUCACUAGACCCCAAAUUAAAGGAGCCACAGAGAAGCAGGUCUGCCACACACCCCCCGGGUCAUCAAUGCCUGGCUGAGGAGAAGCCUCGGGGAACUCACAGAUUCAGAGCAACGUUCAGGCAGCUGCAGGCACUGGGUCUUGCUGUCUGGUAGUAAGCAGUGGUGGGAUGUUUGACAUAGUAGGUCUGAACCCCUUGGACCAGAUCUGCAUAUCACUCAACAAGCUAUUUCUCUGGGCAGUGGGGUGGGGCUUCCUUCCUAUUGCCUCUGUCAUUUCCUAAACACUUGGUGGAGUGCUGUUGAAUUUUGCCAACUUCAGGCACAAUUCUGGAACUAAAAGUAAAGGUUCUGGGGGCUCAGCCAGUCUAAAAGGUCUAGUGAUUUCUUCUCCCAGCCCUUCCCUUCUGCCAUAUCUGAGAUGCCACCACCACUUAGGAGCCUUAGAUGGCCAUUUAUGCCCAGCCGCCCAGCCACAGUGUGUAUGGGAAAGGUCUGAGAUGGAGGUGAGCCUUUCUCUCCUCGGAGCCUCUGAGGUGUUGACACAGUAGAGAGAGGAACGACCAGCAGCGUCAUUUUACAGAAUCGCCUUCAAUCGCUGUUCCUGUCUGGGUGGUUAAGGCCAGUCUAGCCAGAGCGUCUCCCACAGUGACCAGCUGCACCUCCGGGGCUGGCAGUGUGUACCUGACACACUUCUGAGCUCUUCCAGCUGCCUCAAAGAGUGAAUCCUUUUAUUCUAGAAAAUGCAUUUAUUUGCUAAAUAUGCUAUUGUGUGUGUAUGAGCGCGAUACAAUGCGAACUUCGGACUAUCUCGUUAGAAAGACUGUAUGCAUUUAUAGAUCAUCGAACCUAAUUUCAGGAGAGCACAUUGUCAUCUUGCUCAGUGAAUGAAGUUGCCGGGUCGCAGAUCAGAGAAAAUGCCCUUCCCCGCCCCCACGCCCUCUCUGAGCACCCCUCCCCUGCCUCACUGAGCUGUCUUGUACUCCAGGCUCACAGAGAGAGGGGCGCUGAGAACCUGUCUGUACAUAACGAUGUAGGAAGAAACAAGAACCGUCACGGGGUCUGUUGGGCUUCUUCCUAAGACUGUGAUCUUACCCAUGUUUGAAUCACAAACUUUAAAUUUCUAACAAUUAAGAUUCUUGCAGUUUCCGAGUAAUUUGUUAAAUGCCUAUUCAACACAGACAGAUAUUUAUUUUCAGCCUUGGCUUGUAAAUGCCUACAAACUGAUUCAUGUUGGUGGUCAUUAUGACACUUUCUGUGAAUUGGUGAAUAAACAUGAUUUUAGAAUUUCACAGUAAA
This 6288-nucleotide long non-coding RNA is filed under the name Equus caballus (horse). RNAcentral's name for it is "lncRNA (ENSECAG00000054759.1)". Lineage: Eukaryota; Metazoa; Chordata; Mammalia; Perissodactyla; Equidae. The record is from RNAcentral.